This 231-nucleotide unclassified non-coding RNA is filed under the name uncultured bacterium. Its description in RNAcentral is "partial contains 16S ribosomal RNA and 16S-23S ribosomal RNA intergenic spacer region". It matches the Rfam family "Bacterial small subunit ribosomal RNA", at positions 129 to 358 of the family's 1533-position model. The record is from RNAcentral.
CCUAUCACAGGGGGAUAACACAGGGAAACUUGUGCUAAUACCGCAUAACACAGCGAAGUAGCAUUACUUUGUUGUCAAAGGAGCAAUCCGGUGAUAGAUGGGCCCGCGUCCAAUUAGCUAGUUGGAGGGGUAAUGGCCCACCAAGGCGACGAUCGGUAGCCGAACUGAGAGGUUGAUCGGCCACAUUGGGACUGAGACUUGGCCCAGACUCCUACGGGAGGCAGCAGUGGG